This 553-nucleotide ribosomal RNA is filed under the name Papiliotrema rajasthanensis. Its description in RNAcentral is "partial large subunit ribosomal RNA". It matches the Rfam family "Eukaryotic large subunit ribosomal RNA", at positions 104 to 648 of the family's 3401-position model. Lineage: Eukaryota; Fungi; Basidiomycota; Tremellomycetes; Tremellales; Rhynchogastremaceae. The record is from RNAcentral.
AGCUCACAUUUGAAAUCUGGCGUCCUCAGGGCGUCCGAGUUGUAAUCUAUAGAGGCGUUUUCCGUGCCGGACCGUGUCCAAGUUCCUUGGAACAGGAUAUCAAAGAGGGUGACAAUCCCGUACUUGACACGAUGACCGGUGCUCUGUGAUACGUCUUCUACGAGUCGAGUUGUUUGGGAAUGCAGCUCAAAAUGGGUGGUGAGUUCCAUCUAAAGCUAAAUAUUGGCGAGAGACCGAUAGCGAACAAGUACCGUGAGGGAAAGAUGAAAAGCACUUUGGAAAGAGAGUUAAACAGUACGUGAAAUUGUUGAAAGGGAAACGAUUGAAGUCAGUCGUGACUGAGAGGCUCAGCCGGUUCUGCCGGUGUAUUCCCCUCAGUCGGGUCAACAUCAGUUUUGUCCGGUGGAAAAGGGCGGUAGGAACGUGGCACCUCCGGGUGUGUUAUAGCCUGCCGUCGCAUACAUCGGGUGAGACUGAGGAAUGCAGCUCGCCUUUAUGGCCGGGGUUCGCCCACGUCCGAGCUUAGGAUGUUGACAUAAUGGCUUUAAACGAC